CACACACCUCUCUCUCUCUCUCUCUCCAGCGCUCAUUAAACAUGGAGGUGUGUAAGGAGCGCCUCUCGGUUUUCUCUCUCUUAAAGUUAAUAAAACAAACUCCUCCUUCUUUAGAAACUACUGAACUUUCAAAUGUUCUUUUUACCUCAAAUCACUUCACAAACUCUUUCACACAAACAUCACUGCUAAUAAAGUAUAAAUAGAAUAAAAUCACUUCUAAUAAAGUAUAAACAGAAUAAAAUCACUCCUAAUAAAGUAUAAAUAUACUAAAAUCACUUCUAAUAAAGUAUAAAUAUACUAAAAUCACUCCUAAUAAAGUAUAAAUAUACUAAAAUAUACUAAAAUCACUCCUAAUAAAGUAUAAAUAGAAUAAAAUCACUCCUAAUAAAUUAUAAAUAUACUAAAAUCACUCCUAUAAAGUAUA
Ictalurus punctatus (channel catfish) is the source of this 424-nucleotide long non-coding RNA. NCBI's taxonomy places the organism in Eukaryota, Metazoa, Chordata, Actinopteri, Siluriformes, Ictaluridae. The record is from Ensembl.